Molecule: ribosomal RNA, 253 nt
Filed under: uncultured bacterium
Lineage: Bacteria
Description: partial 16S ribosomal RNA
Rfam family: Bacterial small subunit ribosomal RNA
Source: RNAcentral
UACGUAGGGGGCGAGCGUUAUCCGGAUUCACUGGGCGUAAAGGGCGCGCAGGUGGUACGUCAAGUUGGAUGUGAAAUCCCACGGCUCAACCGUGGAACGGCAUUCAAAACUGGCGGACUAGAGGGCAGCAGGGGGAGGCGGAAGUCCCGGUGGAGCGGUGAAAUGCGUAGAUAUCGGGAGGAACACCAGUGGCGAAGGCGGCCUCCUGGGCUGUACCUGACGCUGAGGCGCGAAAGCGUGGGGAGCAAACCGG